RNAcentral lists this ribosomal RNA (254 nucleotides) under uncultured bacterium. RNAcentral describes it as "partial 16S ribosomal RNA". It matches the Rfam family "Bacterial small subunit ribosomal RNA", at positions 524 to 776 of the family's 1533-position model. The record is from RNAcentral.
UACGUAGGGUGCAAGCGUUGUCCGGAAUUAUUGGGCGUAAAGAGCUCGUAGGCGGUUUGUCGCGUCUGCUGUGAAAACCCGAGGCUCAACCUCGGGCCUGCAGUGGGUACGGGCAGACUAGAGUGCGGUAGGGGAGAUUGGAAUUCCUGGUGUAGCGGUGGAAUGCGCAGAUAUCAGGAGGAACACCAAUGGCGAAGGCAGAUCUCUGGGCCGUAACUUGACGCUGAGGAGCGAAAGCAUGGGGAGCGAACAGG